Molecule: ribosomal RNA, 494 nt
Filed under: uncultured bacterium
Lineage: Bacteria
Description: partial 16S ribosomal RNA
Rfam family: Bacterial small subunit ribosomal RNA
Source: RNAcentral
GACGAACGCUGGCGGCGUGCUUAACACAUGCAAGUCGAACGCUCACGGAGGAGCUUGCUGUUCUGGAUGAGUUGCGGACGAGUGAGUAACGAGUAGGUAACCUGCCUGGUAGCGGGGGAUAACUAUUGGAAACGAUAGCUACUACCGCAUGACAUCAGUUAUUGCAUGAUAACUGUUUAAAAGGGGCAACUGUUCCACUACCAGUUGGCUCUGCGCUGGAUUAGCUAGUUGGUGAGGGAACGGCUCACCAAGGCGACGAUACAUAGCCGACGUGAGGGGGGGAGCGGCCACACUGGGACUGGGACACGGCCCAGACUCCGACGGGAGGCAGCAGUAGGGAAGGUGCGGCAAUGGACGGAAGUCUGACCGAGCAGCGGCGCGGGAGUGAAGGAGGUGUUCGGAUCGGGAAGCUAUGCUGUUAGAGAAGAACGAGUGUGAGAGGGGAAGUGGCGCGCUGGGACGGUAUCGGACCAGAAAGGGACGGCUAACUACUG